This 271-nucleotide ribosomal RNA is filed under the name uncultured bacterium. RNAcentral's name for it is "partial 16S ribosomal RNA". It matches the Rfam family "Bacterial small subunit ribosomal RNA", at positions 338 to 626 of the family's 1533-position model. The record is from RNAcentral.
CCUACGGGGGGCAGCAGUGGGGAAUAUUGCACAAUGGGGGAAACCCUGAUGCAGCGACGCCGCGUGAGUGAAGAAGUAUUUCGGUAUGUAAAGCUCUAUCAGCAGGGAAGAAAAUGACGGUACCUGACUAAGAAGCCCCGGCUAACUACGUGCCAGCAGCCGCGGUAAUACGUAGGGGGCAAGCGUUAUCCGGAUUUACUGGGUGUAAAGGGAGCGGAAACGGUAGGGCAAGUCUGAAGUGAAAGCCCGCGGCUCAACUGCGGGACUGCUU